AGAAUCAACGCUGGCGGCGUGCCUAACACAUGCAAGUCGCACGAGAAAGGGACUUCGGUCCUGAGUAAAGUGGCGCACGGGUGAGUAACACGUGACUAAUCUACCCUCGAGUGGGGAAUAACCUAGGGAAACCUGGGCUAAUACCGCAUAACACUUACGAGUCAAAGCAGCAAUGCGCUUGGGGAGGAGGUCGCGGCAGAUUAGUUAGUUGGCGGGGUAAUGGCCCACCAAGACGAUGAUCUGUAUCCGGCCUGAGAGGGCGCACGGACACACUGGAACUGAAACACGGUCCAGACUCCUACGGGAGGCAGCAGUGGGGAAUUUUGCGCAAUGGGGGAAACCCUGACGCAGCAACGCCGCGUGGAGGAUGAAGUCUCUUGGGGACGUAAACUCCUUUCGACAGGGACGAUAAUGACGGUACCUGUAGAAGAAGCCCGGCUAACUUCGUGCCAGCAGCCGC
RNAcentral lists this ribosomal RNA (460 nucleotides) under uncultured bacterium. RNAcentral's name for it is "SSU rRNA". It matches the Rfam family "Bacterial small subunit ribosomal RNA", at positions 26 to 518 of the family's 1533-position model. The record is from RNAcentral.